GGAGGAGGGCGGAGGAGGAGGAGCAGGAGGAGGACUACGCGGGGCGCGUUCCCUCCCAGCAGCCGGGCGCCCGCGUCGCUGCCGCCGCCGGAAGACUGACGCCCCCCAAAGCCCCUCGCCUGGCUCGGACCCACGGAGCCGGCAGCCCAGCACUCCGGAAGGAGCAUUAAGACCGAGAGGGAUUUUGCAGCUGCAGGACACAUGGCCCUGUCCUCAGAAGCCCCAGUCUGAGAUGAGAAGCACAACCCUGGCCUUGGGAGCCCUCAAACCCAGAGGUGAGGUCUAGAACCCAGGCUGGGCGUGUGCUGAGGUUCAGGUGGGGAGUGGGUGGUGCUGGGUGGCUGUCCUGUGACGGCCUUCUGAAGCAAAGGCUGUGGCGAGGGGGAGGCCAGAGGAUGGGGAGUGGUUUGCCUAGGG
Molecule: long non-coding RNA, 417 nt
Organism: Neomonachus schauinslandi (Hawaiian monk seal)
Lineage: Eukaryota; Metazoa; Chordata; Mammalia; Carnivora; Phocidae
Exons: 3
Source: RefSeq, a predicted model, not a curated record